Molecule: ribosomal RNA, 253 nt
Filed under: uncultured bacterium
Lineage: Bacteria
Description: partial 16S ribosomal RNA
Rfam family: Bacterial small subunit ribosomal RNA
Source: RNAcentral
UACGGGGGGGGUAAGCGUUGUUCGGAAUUACUGGGCGUAAAGGGCUCGUAGGCGGCCAACUAAGUCAUACGUGAAAUCCCUCAGCUUAACUGGGGAACUGCGUGUGAUACUGGAUGGCUUGGAUUUGGGAGAGGGAUGCGGAAUUCCAGGUGUAGCGGUGAAAUGCGUAGAUAUCUGGAGGAACACCGGUGGCGAAGGCGGCAUCCUGGACCAAUAUUGACGCUGAGGCGCGAAAGCUAGGGUAGCAAACGGG